GAUGAACGCUGGCGGCGUGCCUAAUACAUGCAAGUCGAGCGAACAGACGAGGAGCUUGCUCCUCUGACGUUAGCGGCGGACGGGUGAGUAACACGUGGAUAACCUACCUAUAAGACUGGGAUAACUUCGGGAAACCGGAGCUAAUACCGGAUAAUAUAUUGAACCGCAUGGUUCAAUAGUGAAAGACGGUUUUGCUGUCACUUAUAGAUGGAUCCGCGCCGCAUUAGCUAGUUGGUAAGGUAACGGCUUACCAAGGCGACGAUGCGUAGCCGACCUGAGAGGGUGAUCGGCCACCCUGGAACUGAGACACGGUCCAGACUCCUACGGGAGGCAGCAGUAGGGAAUCUGCCGCAAUGGGCGAAAGCCUGACGGAGCAACGCCGCGUGAGUGAUGAAGGUCUUCGGAUCGUAAAACUCUGUUAUUAGGGAAGAACAAAUGUGUAAGUAACUAUGCACGUCUUGACGGUACCUAAUCAGAAAGCCACGGCUAACUACGUG
This 497-nucleotide ribosomal RNA is filed under the name uncultured bacterium. RNAcentral describes it as "partial 16S ribosomal RNA". It matches the Rfam family "Bacterial small subunit ribosomal RNA", at positions 28 to 507 of the family's 1533-position model. The record is from RNAcentral.